CUUUCACCCACGCCCCACGUUGCAACCCUGUCAUCCACCCGUAGCUCGCUCCACACAACACAACCCCCCACUCAACCAGCCGCCGGCGAGAAAUUUACUAGCCGAUCCAUCUGGCGGCGAAUCCUCCCAUCCAGGUGGCGGCGGCGCCACACUGGAGUCACAACACCAUGGACGAACACAGCUCUGAGUCCGGCAGCUGCGGAGCAGACGCGGAUGGAUCUGGCAGUGGGCAACUGGAUGCAGCUCAUCCGGUGCCCGCGCAAGGCCCAUAUGGCUCCUCAUCUAGCGCCGGGGAGAGAGAGCCACCUCCGCCAACUUCACGCAUAUCGGUCAAGCACGCGGUGAGCGUAAUCAAGACUUUUGAUGAAUACAAGAGAUGGCUAGUAGAGCAAAUUGGGUUUGGAGGGAUGCUGAAGCUGCCGGACAUCCAGAAACUAAAUCUGAAGUGUGGCGCGUGGAUAAUGAGCAGAGUCAGCGUCAGUCGCAGGGAGAUUAAGCUUAGGGAUAAUAAGGUUAUCAAGUUCUACGCCGAGGAUCUUUACAAGGUGUUUGGGAUCCCAUGUGGCCAUCGUAAUGUGAAAGGCAGAGAUGCGAACAUCAACCCUAAGGCAGUUCAUUUCAUAAAGGCAAAUUUGCAGAUGAACAAAACAGGCGUCCACAGCUUGCGGGCAGCCGAAGAUUUUCUUCUGCGGGACAUCAAUGAGAAUUCAAGCAAGCUAGAGAAAGAUUGUUUCCAGAUUGCCUUCGUCAUUUUUGUCAUGGGACAUGUGCUAGUGCCUACAACCAAGCAUAACUACACUACUAUCGAUUUCUGGGGGGCAAUAGCAAACACCAAGUCGAUAGAUCAAUUCAAUUGGUGUGAGUAUGUUCUCCAGCAUCUGCUAGCUGCAGUGAAGAAGGUCAAGAGAGAUAUGAUGGCCAAUAGUUUGUCCACUAAUCUAACCGGUUGCCAUUUGUUCUUCCAGAUUUUUUGCUGGACAAUCUUGAUCUGGGCAUCUUUAACAAGGCACACAACGUGCUCCCCAGGAUAAGCGACUUCGACCCUGAAUCGUUUAGCCGAAUGCUGACCAUGGCUCUCGAUCCUGUCAAAGGAUCUAAUUCCUACUUGCAUGCUAAUAUAACAGAUGCUUCGACCGUUUGCUACACACGACAGAAGUACCAGUCUCAGGCCCCGACGUCAUCGAUACUCAAGAGGCAGCCUAGGCUCUCCGGCACGCCACCGGCUGCUCAGCAGCGGAACAACACUCCCCCAACAGCCAUUGGUGCAGUUCCUGGUCCACUAGAAUUUGCUAAAUACCUCCGGGAGAAGUACCCACACCUUGUAUGUGUGAUGUUCAUGUUUCAGUAACUGAUGAGAUCACCAUGGUAUUAAAACAGCACAACUCUAGGGCCAUUAUGCACUUGACGAAAGCUAGCAACUCCAUCCAGCAGGCUCUGUUAGAAGCGAAAAAUGGGUUGCAGAUGGAUACGUACAAGUUAUCAGAUAAAGUAAUCAAUUCACCCGCCACACGAUGUGUGUGUUGUCGCGCGAGGGGUUUUAAUGAUUAUCCUGCAGCAGCAUCCGCUAAUUCCAAGGCAGUACGGUUUAACACGCGGGUGGCACAUAGGAUACAUGGUCAAAGGCUUGAAUUGUCUGAUAAUGAAGCUACAUCACCUGGUCCCAACCCGAAACGCCCCCACAACACGAGGGGUUUUAAUGAUUGUCCUGCAUCAGCAUCCGCUAAUUCCAAGUCAGUAUGCUUUAGCACGCCGGUUGCACAAAGGAUACAUGGGCAAAGGCUUGAAUUGUCUGAUGACGAAGCUACGUCACCUGGUCUCAAACGGAAACGUCCCCACAACGUCGACGAUUGCACAUCUGUCAGCAAGAAGUCCUCAUCAGGAGCAUCGGGCGGUCUAUUCAAUUUUUUCAAGACUAACCUAAUGGCAAUAGCUCAACUCUAUGCGGAUCUCCCAGCCAACACACCCGCUACUGUAUUCGGCCAAUGUUGCACCAACUUACAGAAGCGGAAGUAUGUAUUCCAGCAUGGUUUUGCAACUGAUCCAUGGGGAAAGGGAGUUGUGCAACACCCCCGCAUGGUCCAACCACAGACCUCCUUGCUGCCCAUUUAUCGAAGCUGCCUGAACAAGAUUUUCAGAGGAACUACAUUAUCCACGCCAGCCCUAGGAUUAUACGCAUCUCUGUGUUGGCUAUGAGUCAGCAGUUAGUUGGCACGCGGGGUCUCCACCACGAGCUCAUGUCUAUCAUCAUGCGAAGGUAUACACAGUCAGAUCAGGAAGCCAAUUCCGAAUGCCCAUACAUGAAAUGGAGGCACAACAUGGAACCCGACUUCGCGACAAUUGUCCUAGCGGACCAUGAAUAUGUGACAAACAUAUCCAUCCAGAACCAGCUCGUUGGCAAGGAAAUCCCGUACGACAUAACUUCCUGCCAGAUGUUUUUCUUACCAGUCCCGCUGGAGGAUGGCUGGAUAGCACUGAUGUGGGACAUGAUGGAGAGGAAGCUCCACGUCCUUCACCCACUCAUCAGAGGUGAUGGUCCUAGCGAACCAAUGAAAGACAAGCUCAAGUUGGUUGCCUGGAAACUUCACCAUGCGUUGUUCGACUGCCUUAACGAGUAUUAUGCUGGAUGGCCUACGCAAGAUGGCCAGUGGGUGACCAAGUACCCAGUCAUAGCUGAAGAAAAUUUUAGCAGAGAUGAAACUAGCGCGUGUGUGCUCCAUAUCUGCCGGCACUAUGAUGGCGUCAAGAUGAAGAUUCCCCUUACCAAGUACAAUGCCGGCAAAACAAAAAGGCAAGCUCUACACGAGUGUGUCAAACUACAGGGGAACUCAUCGAAGCUGGCGCACGAGGCUCUGUGGACGGGUAGUGGGGGGAAACCUGCUGCAAGGCUCAUGCUGCGCCACUAGUGGGUAUAAGAAUGUCCAGCCAUCGGUGUCAACCAACCCGUUGCCGAAGAAGUUGUUGAAAAGAGAACGGAAUCUACGUUGGAAUUUUUUUGCACGGGCUUCAUGCUUGAUCUUCAUCUCAUCCAUCACAUCUGUCUCCGUAGGGUCAAGGACCAUCAUGGUUUUCUUGUCCUUGUCCAUAAGAUAGUUCUGAACUGCUUGCUGGAAACGAGAGGUUGAACCACCAGCUCCAGAUGGCAACAUAUUGGAGGCAAUUACCAGCAUCAUCACGACGGAAUGAAGGUCCAGGACGACAGUUUGUUUGCACGUCCAAGGCUCGCGGACGAGUUGUGACAUGUGGUCCAAGCUCUCCUGCAUCACUACGCUCGGUUGCACGCUCACGGGCUUCCACACUGGAGGUUGAUCAUCACCACCAUCUACGGAAAGAAAAAGAAACAGGUGCAUAAGGACAGCACGCCUGACAUGGAACCCGGGUGGGCAGGAUUUCUUCUCUCAUUCCGCACUAGCAUUUUACCUCUGCCAUCAUGAUAAAAGGAAGGUGCAGACCGACAUGAUGUCUGAACAUCUAGUGCGUGCGGACGGGUCGCAUGCUGGACUCGAGCAAGAAGUUCCUGUCUACUGGGACGGGCAUCUUCUCGGUAUUCAGUACCAUGCCAACCCAACAAGAUUUGACCAUUGAGAGGAGGGUCUUCAUCUUCAUCAUCUCCCGGCCUUGCGCUCCCAACCAUCAUCGUUGCUGGAAAAAAAUACUAAAGAGGAAUCCACCAGGCUCGCCGACUACAUCAUGCCAGUCUUCAUCCAGAUGAUCGAAUUCAUCCUGUGGUUUUGUCUGUUCAAGAAGAAAGUAAAGCUUCUCUAUGAGAUGGCACAUGUGGGCUAGAUGGCAACCUGACUAAGAAAUAUCUUUUUGUUACUCAUGUGGAAAAGGAUUUGUUUCCUUACUGGGAAUAUGCCUGGGUACUCCCUGAUGAGGAAAAUCAUCGUCCUGCAUAUCUCUCAUGUGUAAACGCUGAUCCGUGGGACUGUGUGUUGUUCUAAGUUAUAUACCCCGAAGUCAAUCCAGUCGAAGAACCAUGGCUGUCAGAUAUGCAAACAAAACAGGAAUCAAAAUUCAGAUGUUAGGAUCAAGAAAUGUGCGCCACAAAUCAUGAAAAAGAAAAUAUUUUUUUAUGUAAC
RNAcentral lists this ribosomal RNA (4079 nucleotides) under Triticum aestivum (bread wheat). RNAcentral's name for it is "partial small subunit ribosomal RNA". The record is from RNAcentral. Lineage: Eukaryota; Viridiplantae; Streptophyta; Magnoliopsida; Poales; Poaceae.